This 22-nucleotide microRNA is filed under the name Gallus gallus (chicken). RNAcentral's name for it is "gga-miR-12278-5p (MIR12278)". Lineage: Eukaryota; Metazoa; Chordata; Aves; Galliformes; Phasianidae. The record is from RNAcentral.
AUCCUUCAAGUACCUGAUAACA